CAUGUAGGCGGUCUGUCAAGUCUGAUGUGAAAGCCCGGGGCUCAACCCCGGAAGUGCAUUGGAAACUGGCAGACUUGAGUACGGGAGAGGAAAGUGGAAUUUCGAGUGUAAGGGUGAAAUCCGUAGAUAUUCGAAGGAACACCAGUGGCGAAGGCGGCUUUCUGGACCGAUACUGACGCUGAGAUGCGAAAGCGUGGGGAGCAAACAGGAUUAGAUACCCUGGUAGUCC
Molecule: ribosomal RNA, 229 nt
Filed under: uncultured bacterium
Lineage: Bacteria
Description: partial 16S ribosomal RNA
Rfam family: Bacterial small subunit ribosomal RNA
Source: RNAcentral